Molecule: non-coding RNA, 367 nt
Organism: Xyrichtys novacula (pearly razorfish)
Lineage: Eukaryota; Metazoa; Chordata; Actinopteri; Labriformes; Labridae
Source: the annotation of a GenBank genome assembly
CUGGCCUGGUUCUUCAGUCUCUCUCUGUACUCUGUAACAGGACCGGCCCAUAGACUGUAUCUAGAAUAGACGCCAUCUGUCUCCUCUCUGUGAGAACAGCGCCCUCUGGUGACGGGCUGCAGUAUAGGUCCUAAACCCCGCCUCCUUAUGGAGCUGUGGACAAACUUUCUAAAUGAAUGACACAGAAUAUAAAUGUUUCUCCCCCCUGGUUGUGAUGUUGACAUGUAGUUACUGUCAGACUGGUUUGUGCUCAAGUCCUCUUUUUUCUGUACAGCUCCAUUUUUAAAAGUUAUUAGGGGGGUUCAUGUUUUCUAUGAUUGACACCUGAUACAGCCUAUGGGAGGACAGAGAUUGAGUAGAUCACCGG